CAGCUUCAGUUGAACCAAUAGUUGCAGGAGGAGCAGGAAGUAGUAACUGAUGCUGAAUCUGGUCCAAACAGAAAGUGUUUUUUUUUAGUGAAGCAGCAAUCAAAAGAAAAAUAUGAUAUGCCUUUGUAUAUAUGCCAUAGAUAUUUUGGGUUAAACUCAUCUGAAUUCCUAAAAGCAUUAAAACCAGAUAAUGGAUUCUAAUUUUCCCAAAUAAGCUAAUUUGAUUAUAGAGAGAAAUGAAUCAAGCUAAAAAAUGAAUGUUAUCUGCCAUAAUACGGCUACUUGCUAUAUUAUGCCAUGAUACAAGCAAAUAACAUAAUUAUAACAUGAAAACAGAAAUAUUGCAUAUUGUAUAUAAUACAAAUUAUUUAUGUAUCAAAUUUUAUAAGAAUAUAAAAUAAUUUAAACAUGACCACAUCAUGAGAAAAACGAAUGAACACAGAUGGGUACAAAAGUUGCCAGGUCUACUUCCAUCAAAAUCAGAUAGUAAAAUUCAUAAGUAGUUAAAAACUGUAAGAAUCAAUAAUAACUAACUUUAGCUUGUGAAGCAACAAAAUGACAUAAGCUGACACAGAUGGGAAAACAUUAGCAAGCUUGCAAGCAGUCAACAAAGCAUCUUGAACUCUAGCAAUCUGGUAAGUGUUUGAAGUUAAAUACAUUAGCUUAAGCCAUCAAUAUUUUUGAGGUAUUGAGAAGGAAAUAAAAGGAAAGCUUUCGAUGGUGCAAACACUAACAAUGAAAAUGAAGGAGGCCAUAUAACAAUGAUUUUAGGAAGACUUAAAAAAAAACUUUCUUUUAUAACUUUUCAAAGUAAAUUUUUUUUUAAUUUCAAUCUUGUGGGAAAGCAAAAACUAUAUAUGUAGUAAUCCAUAAUAUAUGCAUAUACUUGAGAGAGUGCUUUUAGUUGGAGUGGGAAACCAAUAAUAACAAGUAAUGAGAUUUCUAUCAAUCAAAUCAUCCCCUUUGAAGGCAUUGUAAUAACAAAAUCUGCAGUAUAUCAUCACUAGGAAUGAUAAAAAAAUGAAAAAUCAAAACUCAAAAGACAUACCCUUAAUCAUAAGCUUGUGGAAGUUUAAAGUAGCUUAUUCCAAACAUAGCAGCAACCAGCUGUUAUUGACUUAAAAGGAUAUGCCAAAAAGCUGCAAUUAGAUACUAAUAUUUUACCCUUGAGUGCAUAUAAAUCUUUUUUUUUUUACAAUUUAUUGCAUAAAGCUUGUGGAAGUUUAAAGUAGCUUAUUCCAAACAUAGCAGCAACUAGUUGUUAUCGACUUAAAAGGAUAUGCCAAAAAGCUGCAAUUAGAUACUAAUAUUUUACCCUUGAGUGCAUAUAAAUCUCUUUUUUACAAUUUAUUGCAUAACAUUUCCGAGUCCUAGACUCGUUAAUCCACAAUUGGCCCCUAAGGCUUGUUUUCAAUUCCUUUAACAUAACAUUUCAAACAUAUCGAUAUCAAAACAUUCUAUUAUCAAUCAAAUUUCCAAGUUACCAUUUAUAAUGUCAAUUAAUUCAUUCAUUCUAGGGUCCUUCGACUUGUUUGAAUCCACUUCAGCCCCUAAGGCUCAGUUUCAUUUGAUUUACAUACUUUGUCAUAUGGUUACUACAUUUAGUUUACAUUUAAUCACCGAACAUAUUAAUAAAAUCCUAAUAACCUAACUUGGAUUUUCAAAACAGAUACUCGAAUUAGUCAAUCUGCAUCUCAAACUGACACUGUAAUGUAUCAUCCGCAAAAUAUCUUAAUAAAACCAGACAUCAAAAGAAGCAAGUGUUCCUUCCCGUCCCUUGCUUUACCCCCAUUUUUACUCUGAGAAUAUCUUAAUAGUUUUGGUUCUCAUUUAUGUCAAACAUCUCAAUGAAAAAUAGUUAGAUUGUUAUAAACCAACAAAUGAUAGCAUAUGAAAAACCCAUACAUACCAGUAUGAAGAUAAAUCUCUCGAUUCAUCUACUUCAUGCUUUCAACAGCCAGACAUGAAAGUGAACAAUUGACCGCUUUCAACAUGCAAGCGCCAUUAAUAGAAAUACAGUUUAAAUUGUAUAGCCAUUGCAACCUUGCUAGCUUUGAACAAACUAAUUCAGUGGUGUACACACCUUUGAAAAGAAUUGGAAACUUCAAUUUAACUGGAAUAUAUAAAUAUUUACCCCAGAAAAGAGGAUAAGAAACUUUAAUCGAGUUUGCAAAAAAGGAGAUUUAUAUGCAUACCCUUGCUUGCUAACAUUGAAAAUAUAUGAAAAUGAUUGAAAUUCCUCCAAAACCCAUAGGUUAAACAAAGAAGAAAUAAAUUGUUCUCAAAUAAAAGAACAACUUACCUGAUAUUUUACACUCUGAUGAAGCAAAUGAGUAACCUCCAAAACAGAAAAGCGAUUCAAGUCAAAUGUAUGUUAGCUCGACAAUAAAUCUUAACCGUGUCUGCUGAUUCUUUUGAGGGAAAUUUAGGGAUUAGAAGAAAUUAGAGAAUUGGGGAAAUCUGUUUUGGGUUGGGGGGAAUAGGUGUCGGGCAUGAGAAAGAAGCAAACAUUUCAAGGAAAAUGACACCGUUCAAGGUAAACAAUU
This 2546-nucleotide long non-coding RNA is filed under the name Gossypium barbadense (sea-island cotton). Its description in RNAcentral is "long non-coding RNA (GBAR_LNC006315)". Lineage: Eukaryota; Viridiplantae; Streptophyta; Magnoliopsida; Malvales; Malvaceae. The record is from RNAcentral.